UGAACGCUGGCGGCGUGCAUAACACAGUUCAAGUCGAACGAUGAAGGGACUUCGGUCCUGGAAUAGUGGCGGACGGGUGAGUAACGCGUGAGCAACCUGCCUUGCAGUUGGGGAUAACGUUGGAAACGAACGCUAAUACCGCAUAACGUAUAAAUAUCGCAUGUUAGAUAUACCAAAGAUUUAUUGAUGCAAGAUGGGCUCGCGUCCGAUUAGAUAGUUGGUGAGGUAACGGCCCACCAAGUCGACGAUCGGUAGCCGGACUGAGAGGUUGAACGGCCACAUUGGAACUGAGAAACGGUCCAGACUCCUACGGGAGGCAGCAGUGGGGAAUAUUGGGCAAUGGGCGAAAGCCUGACCCAGCGACGCCGCGUGAGGGAAGAAGAUCUUCGGAUUGUAAACCUCUUUCAGCAAGGAAGAAGAAAGUGACGGUACUUGCAGAAGAAGCCACGGCUAACUACGUGCCAGCCGCUGC
This 472-nucleotide ribosomal RNA is filed under the name uncultured bacterium. Its description in RNAcentral is "bacterial SSU rRNA". It matches the Rfam family "Bacterial small subunit ribosomal RNA", at positions 30 to 518 of the family's 1533-position model. The record is from RNAcentral.